GCUCAAAAUGAUCUGAAAUUUUGCAUGGAAUGUUUCUAUCAAUAAAAAAUCUUACAUAUAAAUUUUGGUCCAAAAAUUCAAAAGGAUGUACCUUGGUUCUUCAUUUUUUUCACAUUGCUUUUUCAUUUUGGAACCAUCUAGGUAGAUCUCUCAGAAACCAUCCCACCCCAUGAACCAAAUGUGACAUGUUUUUUUUGUUUGAAUUUGAAUUUUUUUUAUGGGUGUUCUAUAGCAAUAGGGAAGUGUCCACACCAAAUUUGACAAUGUUUUGAGAAAAAUUGAAUUUUAUAGAAUUUUUAUAGCACAAAAGCCACACAUAAUGACACUUAAUCAUAGAAGGGUAUAUAACAUUUGAAUUUAUGGUUCAAAAGUUUAUUGAGAAUAAAAAAUCUUAUUAUACACAUAAAAGAACAGGUGGUGUAUUUAUUUAAAACCCAAAGAAUAUAUUAUCAAUUUAAUAGCUUAUUGGAAAUUCAUCACCAGUGGCGGUUUCUGUCGUGAGAACCGCCACUGAUAUGCGGUACACAAAUUUAGUGUCUUCAAUGCUCCUGCGUAUCAUACCAGUGGCAGGUUUCAUUGCGAGCACCGCCACUCGUGCUUCGUACUAGUGGCGGUUCUCUGCGUAGUCACC
RNAcentral lists this long non-coding RNA (631 nucleotides) under Brachypodium distachyon (stiff brome). Its description in RNAcentral is "long non-coding RNA (BDIS_LNC004283)". Lineage: Eukaryota; Viridiplantae; Streptophyta; Magnoliopsida; Poales; Poaceae. The record is from RNAcentral.